RNAcentral lists this ribosomal RNA (229 nucleotides) under uncultured bacterium. RNAcentral's name for it is "partial 16S ribosomal RNA". It matches the Rfam family "Bacterial small subunit ribosomal RNA", at positions 104 to 334 of the family's 1533-position model. The record is from RNAcentral.
CGGGGUGAGUAAUGCUUGGGAAUCUGGCUUAUGGAGGGGGAUAACUACGGGAAACUGUAGCUAAUACCGCGUAGUAUCGGAAGAUGAAAGUGCGGGACCGUAAGGCCGCAUGCCAUGGGAUGAGCCCAAGUGGGAUUAGGUAGUUGGUGGGAUAAAGGCCUACCAAGCCUGCGAUCUCUAGCUGGUCUGAGAGGAUGGCCAGCCACACUGGAACUGAGACACGGUCCAG